GAACUUUGGCUCCUUGCCUCUCUUGGGGAGAAGAAACCUCACGAACAACAACAGCAAGUUUUAUUCAAAUCUUGGAUCUUUCCUCCUGAGAAGCCUGUGAGGCCUCAAGAACAAAAUGUAAGCAUUGAUUAUCUGCUGCUGUGGAAUGCAACAGGUGCAUCUGUGACUGGCCCAUGUUGGAUGUUUCUAAUUAAUGGCCAAUCACAGUCAGCUGUCUUGGACAGAGAGCCGAGACACAAACCUUUGUUAUUCAUUUUUUCCUAUUCUAUUCUUAGCUAGCCUUCUGAUGAAAUCUUUUCUUCUAUUCUUUUAGUAUAGUUUUAAUGUAAUAUAUAUCAUAAAAUAAUAAAUCAAGCCUUGUGAAA
Molecule: long non-coding RNA, 365 nt
Organism: Melospiza melodia melodia
Lineage: Eukaryota; Metazoa; Chordata; Aves; Passeriformes; Passerellidae
Exons: 2
Source: RefSeq, a predicted model, not a curated record